This is a long non-coding RNA of Vidua chalybeata, 620 nucleotides long. RefSeq lists it as uncharacterized. The transcript has 2 exons. The record is from RefSeq and is a predicted model, not a curated record. Lineage: Eukaryota; Metazoa; Chordata; Aves; Passeriformes; Viduidae.
UGCCAGACUGAGCCCCAGUGCAGUGUUUGCAGUAACUGCAUUGCUGAUGAAAGCUCAUUCUGAACAAAGUAAACCACUUCAAAAUGCCCAGACAAAACUCAGUCUCUGGAUCUACUCAUCUCUUCUUCCUGCACUCCUGUUUUGGCACAAGGCAGUGUUUUUAACAGCAGGCUGCAGACAGCUUCCAGCCAGAUUCUUCUGAGGAAUCACCUCCGCUGCUUCCCAAAAUGGCACCAGGAUAACAUCACAAGCGUAUAUGUAAAUCAAAAGACGUUGAUUCCCAUCCAACAGAAUAACAACCUAGGACAAUGAGCCAACCUCCAGUUCAAGAGACCAAGUGACCUGUCCUGCCUGAGAACUGUCCUUCUAUUCCAUCAGAUCAGCAUAAUUCUAAACUGUCACCACAACCUAACAAGAACUGGACCAAAGUGAGGACCUUAGACAAUGAGCCCAAAGGUGUCUUCCUAGGCACUCCAGUGAGGAUGGAAGCCUCAGCUUUGCUAUACAGCAAAGCUGACAUCCUCCUCCUCCUCCACGUUGCCGAAGGGAGCAGUGGUGGUGCACGUGACCCCUCGGGACACCACCCAGAGCUGAUUUCAUAAUAAAGGCAUUACAAAGGA